RNAcentral lists this ribosomal RNA (296 nucleotides) under uncultured Sphingomonadaceae bacterium. RNAcentral's name for it is "partial 16S ribosomal RNA". It matches the Rfam family "Bacterial small subunit ribosomal RNA", at positions 111 to 426 of the family's 1533-position model. The record is from RNAcentral. Lineage: Bacteria; Pseudomonadati; Pseudomonadota; Alphaproteobacteria; Sphingomonadales; Sphingomonadaceae.
UAACGCGUGGGAAUCUGCCCUUAGGUACGGAAUAACUCAGGGAAACUUGAGCUAAUACCGUAUAAUGACUCCGGUCCAAAGAUUUAUCGCCUGAGGAUGAGCCCGCGUCGGAUUAGCUAGUUGGUGAGGUAAGGGCUCACCAAGGCGACGAUCCGUAGCUGGUCUGAGAGGAUGAUCAGCCACACUGGGACUGAGACACGGCCCAGACUCCUACGGGAGGCAGCAGUGGGGAAUAUUGGACAAUGGGCGAAAGCCUGAUCCAGCAAUGCCGCGGCUUAUGAAGGCCUUAGGGUUGU